This 26-nucleotide non-coding RNA is filed under the name Homo sapiens (human). Lineage: Eukaryota; Metazoa; Chordata; Mammalia; Primates; Hominidae. The record is from RNAcentral.
UGGAAAGCUGUGGGUACUGUUCCAAC